This 406-nucleotide ribosomal RNA is filed under the name uncultured bacterium. RNAcentral describes it as "partial 16S ribosomal RNA". It matches the Rfam family "Bacterial small subunit ribosomal RNA", at positions 29 to 526 of the family's 1533-position model. The record is from RNAcentral.
AUUGAACGCUGGCGGCAGGCCUAACACAUGCAAGUCGAGCGAGCGGCGGACGGGUGAGUAAUGUCUGGGAAACUGCCUGAUGGAGGGGGAUAACUACUGGAAACGGUAGCUAAUACCGCAUACCCUCGGAUGUGCCCAGAUGGGAUUAGCUAGUAGGUGGGGUAACGGCUCACCUGGGGGACGAUCCCUAGCUGGUCUGAGAGGAUGACCAGCCACACGGGAACUGAGACACGGUCCAGACUCCGACGGGAGGCAGCAGUGGGGAAUAGGGGACAAUGGGCGCAAGCCUGAUGCAGCCAUGCCGCGUGUAUGAAGAAGGCCUUCGGGUUGUAAAGUACUUUCAGCGGGGAGGCGUUACCCGCAGAAGAAGCACCGGCUAACUCCGUGCCAGCCGCCGCGGUAAUAC